GUCUCUACAGAUUGCCUUUUCCUUCUGCUAGAACAAAUGACCCCACAUCUUCCUGUCAUCCAGCAGGACCAGGACUCUUGGUCCUGAUGACAGGAAGACUGGUUCAGGAACGUGGUGGCAUUCAUGUUGUCGAUCAACCGAACCUUGAGCAGCACUGACUUCUGGAGGUCCGAAGGUGUAGACACGAGCCCUGGAUACCAAGGAGCUUGCAGCUCACAAGGGGCAGAGACAGGCACAGGGAGCUGUAUCAGUGUGGAAAGGUGAAACCCAAUCACCUUGGGGUUGAUACUUGGGUACUGGAUUCUGAGUGCCAUCAGCAUCUUCUGACCAUGGGCACUAGCCACUGUCUUCCCUCUCUUAUUAACACAGAAUGAGCCUGCCGAGUGUGGACAGCAGUUCAGACAGCUUUCCUGGUCCUUACUGAGGAUGGGAAAGAGAAGACCCACAAAACUAAGUCUGAUUCACUGAGGAAAAACCGCAAGAAAAGUGACUUUGAAAAUGUCUUUAUUUAUAGACAUUUUGGAACCAUUUAAAUCAACAGACAACGAAUUUUUUUCAGACAUGACAUACCGUGUUUAUCUUGAGGUACACACUGGGCCCAUUAGAUAAUGCUCUGGAAAGUAAUGAACCAUUAACUAGUGGUUAACAAGUUUUCCAAGCAAAGAAACUGUAAAGAUGGCUACAAAAUUCUUUGAAAAGAAUACAUUUCUGUUUAAGGAAAACUCCCCCAAAUUCUUAAUUGAAUUCCAUUUUUAGGCUUAGCUUACACAACAUUUUAAAUGGAACUUAAUAUAAAAGUGGGCGAAAAGCUUUACAGUUUAUCUGAGCCCUACUACAAUAGACUGUGAACAAGGGAAAUUCACGAUCUGGUAAGCUCUAUUACAAAAUUUAUAGCCUAAAAAUUAGACCAGCAAAAUUACAGAAGAGUAUUUGUAUAGUUUUAGAUGAAAUCACGUUUACUCCUUCUCUCACUAUCACAAUGAGACAAAUUUUAAAACACCAAGUCUGGAAGAUGAAACAAUGUGAUUUAACAUGAUGUGGCCAUAAUGAUACCAUAAUAUUACAACUCCACCGCAUAAAAGUCCUACUUCCCAUCAUUCAAACUCUGGCCCUUUUAUUCUUCUUGCUGUGGCAGUCCGGUGCAUUUAUAUUACUUGAAAAAUAGUGGCAAUUGACAUAAUGGGCAUGUUUCUAAAAAUCUCUUAUGUUCAAUGGCAGAUUUUUAAACCUUGCAGAGUGAAAUGGAAAUUUCCUUUGAACAGUUCACUAGGUUCUUUGGAGGACUUUCCAGUAAUUCAAAAUGUCAAUUUUACACUCACCAGGUACAAUGAGUAGCAACUUACACAAAAUGUGUGGAAAAUGAAGGGCCGUGUAUUUAUCUACGCCCAAGUCCUGAAUUUCUCAGGGAGCUGUAUGGAUGGCGCACAGGUGGCUCUGGAAUGUGAACAGAGGCUGUUUAUGCGUGUGUCUGAAAACAGUUGAAAGGGAUUGUCACAAUAUUUCCUGGAAGGUUGUAUUUCUACACGAGACAAGAAUAAACACAGCAAUGUAGCCGAAUGGGCAGCUUCCCGCAAUUUCGUAAACUUGAAUGGUAUUUGUGGAUUUAAAGAAUGUUAAGUGUAAAUUUCACAGUUCAUAAAGUUGAGGCAGCUCAACUUUAAAAAAGAAUUUGCAGGCGUUUACAAGUUUCUGAGAAGGAACUUAUCUGUGAGUAUUUGUGUUCUCUCCCCAACACGAGUCAGGUCCACAUUGAACUUUUUAGCUGUUUGGCUUGGUUUAUUGCUGAUUUUCUUUUCUGAGGGGUGCCAUGACGAUUCCUGCCAUGAAUUUAAGGACCUCCAAAAGGUUUUGUGUAGACAGACACUCCCCGGUCCCUCCCACACAUUAUGGUUACUGUUCCGGUUACUGAGAACCUGCCAGAAGGCGCUGUACCCAGUGUUGACCUGCCAGUUCAGAAAGGCUCUGCGCUGGGAUCUCUCCAUCACGUCUCACUGCAGACAUCACAGCUCUCGGGGGGCGGGAAGGGCUGCCCCCUCCUCAUCCUCCUCUGCGCUCCUUGCCGUGAUUCUCUCCAGGUCCUGAAUGCCUCGUCAGGGUGCCAAGGUCCUUCAGACAGGUGUGCGGCUCAGGCCUGGCCAUGACAUUUCUUUUAGUAUAAUGCUAGAAGGUAUUUAGUACAAUUUAAAAAGUUACAGACCCCUCCCCCACUAGGCAAUGAGAGACAGUGUGCCUUCAACACACUCCAUGUUGUGACGGUCACGUGGUGCUCGUGAAUCGUGCCCUUAAAUACAGAUGUCAUUUCUUCCAUUGGUGGAUUCCUUAAAGACAGGACACAGUAACUCUCAAUCACCCAGCUGCCCAGGUUUCAUAUCACCCUUACAUACACAUACAUGGUCUCAGCAACCGUGAUUUUAAAUAUAAACAACGUGAGUUCCAACAGGGCAGGGGCCCUCUUUUUCCCAGCAUCCGAGAGAUACCAGUACCGUGCCCAAUGACUGCCUAAUGCAUUCAUGAUUCCAAGGCCACAGUCCCUGCCCUCAGGGAGUCUCCCUACUGCCAAUCAAUACAGAUUUCAUACAAAUAUGCCAAGAGCUAGAACAAACACACGAACAAAAGGAAAACAAUUCUAUCUUGUGUAAAGUUCUUGCAAAAGAAACAACAGUCAGUUGUUCAGGUGGGGCAACCUUCAUCUAAACCCAAACCAUCCCUGUUCCUCCCCUCUUGAAUUUGAGAAUUUUAUCCAAGUGCUAAAACUGAUUCAGCAAGGGUCUGCCAAUGACAAUGUGCAGCUUGGCAAAUGCAUCUUGUCUGUUUCUGCUUUAAAAAAGGAGUUUUGAAAGGUUAAUUUUAGUGAGGGAGGUAGUUCCCCUCACACAGAAGGAUGGUUUCUAACCAUGAAAAUCUCCUGGGUUUCAGGUUCUGGGAGUGUGGUUGGUACCCGACACUCCUCCAUAGAUCUAUCAGUUACUUCUGAAGGGUACAGUAUUUACAUUUUGGGAGACAUGUUAGGAGAAAAAAAUAUAUUUUAAAUAAAGGAGGUGUAGGUGGAAAAUCAGAAUAGCAAUGAAUUCACCUCAAUUCUAAACCGUGAGAAGGGUUAAAAAUAUCUUCCUAAUGCGAAGGAAUAAAAACAUCUAUCACAGGUCUACAAAACUAGACUGGUGGGUCUUUAAAUUUGUUUAUUCUGGUGAGCUGGAAGAGGAGAUGAUAAAAUAUAACCCAAUCCUGCAAGUCAUACCGUCACUUUGUUGACUGAACUACCCCACCCCAGAGGCGACAGGUACACCUCAGUCAUAAUGGUACAUCUAUAAUCUGGGGACAGACUGGAGUGGUGGUGGGGCUGCUGGAUGGUGCAUUGCUUAAAGAACUAAAACUUCUCUAAGAUUUAUAUUCUUUCAGAAAAUCAAGAACAAUUAUGUUUUGGAACAUUUAAUGACAUUUAGCAAAAAUUCUCAGACUAAUCUAGGAAUUCUUGGAAUAAAAGUAUAGUAAUAAUGUAAUUUGGGGGGAGGGGGCAGGAAGAUGUUUAUGAAAUAAACAAGUCCUCUUCUUGAUAUUUUAAAAAUUACUCAACAGACGUGGCAUAUGUAAUAAUAAAGGAUUGUGUGUCUGAUUUCUGAGCUCUUCUAGAGCAUGAAGCAAGCUAGGAACACUUAACACACUCUGAGAAAUGCUCUUCAGACUUCUCACUAUCAGACAGAGACCAGAGGAAAAAGGCCCUCAAACCCGAGAAUUAUUCAACAAAAGCUGUCAUUUCCCCAGAUAUCAUCAUGGAGUAUUAUAUGCAAAAAUAAGCCCUACAGUGGGCUUAAAAAUCAACUCUUUAUCGAUUUGUUCCAAGUUUUUAGUGAUGAAGCCAAAUUAAAACAAGCUUCGAGUGACAGGUUCUGAGAAUCUUUGGAAUCAUUCUGUCCACUAUUCCUAAGAGCAUCAACCUAAAGUUUCCUAAACUUCAAUGAAUAUUUUAAAGUGAACAGAUAUCUAAAAUAUCAGACUCAAAAUUAUGUUUAAAACAUACUGGUGUAUUGUGUAUACACAUACACACCUACAUGUAUGUAUAUUUUGUUUCCUUUCUGCUCAGUAAAAUUAGCAGCAGUUACAGAUAAAUUAUUAUGGUCAUGAUUUCUGAGGAUGUCAGGAACACACGACUUUUAGAAAAUGCCUUUUGAUAAAAGAUCCUCACCAAGCAUGUAACAUUUCAUACCGCUAACAUUUUCAGGCACAAGAGAAAAACAGCAUUAAGCAAUCCAGAUGACAGCGUACAGAAUAUAGUUAAUUGUUUAACGUCAACUCCCUGAAAGAAGGGAACUGUUGUUCAAAAGUGUUUUUUUAAGAUUCUGAUGUCCUACGGCUUUGGCUAUUUUGUAAUAAAUAUCAUACCUUCUUGGAUAAACCUACUUGGGUAACAAUGAUUUCUCCGCACAUGCCUUUUUUUUUUCUUUUAGCAGCUGCUAAGUGUUGAGUGACGUACAAGGCACAU
Molecule: long non-coding RNA, 4480 nt
Organism: Nycticebus coucang (slow loris)
Lineage: Eukaryota; Metazoa; Chordata; Mammalia; Primates; Lorisidae
Exons: 3
Source: RefSeq, a predicted model, not a curated record